Molecule: ribosomal RNA, 427 nt
Filed under: uncultured bacterium
Lineage: Bacteria
Description: bacterial SSU rRNA
Rfam family: Bacterial small subunit ribosomal RNA
Source: RNAcentral
UGGGGAAUUUUGGACAAUGGACGCAAGUCUGAUCCAGCCAUGCCGCGUGCGGGAAGAAGGCCUUCGGGCUGUAAACCGCUUUUGUCAGGGAAGAAACGAGUUUCUCUAAUACAGAGACUUAAUGACGGUACCUGGAGAAUAAGCACCGGCUAACUACGUGCCAGCAGCCGCGGUAAUACGUAGGGUGCAAGCGUUAAUCGGAAUUACUGGGCGUAAAGCGUGCGCAGGCGGUUAUGUAAGACAGAUGUGAAAUCCCCGGGCUCAACCUGGGAACUGCAUUUGUGACUGUAUAGCUAGAGUACGGCAGAGGGGGAUGGAAUUCCGCGUGUAGCAGUGAAAUGCGUAGAUAUGCGGAGGAACACCGAUGGCGAAGGCAAUCCCCUGGGCCUGUACUGACGCUCAUGCACGAAAGCGUGGGGAGCAAACA